GGUAACCUGCCUGUAAGACUGGGAUAACUCCGGGAAACCGGAGCUAAUACCGGAUAGUUCCUUGAACCGCAUGGUUCAAGGAUGAAAGACGGUUUUGGCUGUCACUUACAGAUGGACCCGCGGCGCAUUAGCUAGUUGGUGAGGUAACGGCUCACCAAGGCGACGAUGCGUAGCCGACCUGAGAGGGUGAUCGGCCACACUGGGACUGAGACACGGCCCAGACUCCUACGGGAGGCAGCAGUAGGGAAUCUUCCGCAAUGGACGAAAGUCUGACGGAGCAACGCCGCGUGAGUGAUGAAGGUUUUCGGAUCGUAAAGCUCUGUUGUUAGGGAAGAACAAGUGCAAGAGUAACUGCUUGCACCUUGACGGUACCUAACCAGAAAGCCACGGCUAACUACGUGCCAGCAGCCGCGGUAAUACGUAGGUGGCAAGCGUUGUCCGGAAUUAUUGGGGGUAAAGGGCUCGCAGGCGGUUUCUUAAGUCUCAUGAUUAAGCCCCCGGCUCAACCGGGGAGGGUCAUUGAAACUGGGAAACUUGAGUGCAGAAGAGGAGAGUGGAAUUCCACGUGUAGCGGUGAAAUGCGUAGAGAUGUGGAGGAACACCAGUGGCGAAGGCGACUCUCUGGUCUGUAACUGACGCUGAGGAGCGAAAGCGUGGGGAGCGAACAGGAUUAGAUACCCUGGUAGUCCACGCCGUAAACGAUGAGUGCUAAGUGUUAGGGGGUUUCCGCCCCUUAGUGCUGCAGCUAACGCAUUAAGCACUCCGCCUGGGGAGUACGGUCGCAAGACUGAAACUCAAAGGAAUUGACGGGGGCCCGCACAAGCGGUGGAGCAUGUGGUUUAAUUCGAAGCAACGCGAAGAACCUUACCAGGUCUUGACAUCCUCUGACAACCCUAGAGAUAGGGCUUUCCCUUCGGGGACAGAGUGACAGGUGGUGCAUGGUUGUCGUCAGCUCGUGUCGUGAGAUGUUGGGUUAAGUCCCGCAACGAGCGCAACCCUUGAUCUUAGUUGCCAGCAUUCAGUUGGGCACUCUAAGGUGACUGCCGGUGACAAACCGGAGGAAGGUGGGGAUGACGUCAAAUCAUCAUGCCCCUUAUGACCUGGGCUACACACGUGCUACAAUGGACAGAACAAAGGGC
Molecule: ribosomal RNA, 1139 nt
Filed under: Bacillus sp. 3LF 24TD
Lineage: Bacteria; Bacillati; Bacillota; Bacilli; Caryophanales; Bacillaceae
Description: bacterial SSU rRNA
Rfam family: Bacterial small subunit ribosomal RNA
Source: RNAcentral